UGAGGAAUCUUGCGCAAUGGGGGAAACCCUGACGCAGCAACGCCGCGUGAGUGAAGAAGGCCUUCGGGUCGUAAAGCUCUGUCAGAUGGGACGAAAUGGAUGGGGGCUAAUAUCGUCCAUCCUUGACGGUACCAUCAGAGGAAGCACCGGCUAACUCCGUGCCAGCAGCCGCGGUAAUACGGGGGGUGAACGCGGUGUUCGGAAUCAUUGGGCGUAAAGCGCGCGCAGGCGGCUUGGUAAGUCAGAGGGGAAAUCCCUGGGCUUAACCCAGGAAGUGC
Molecule: ribosomal RNA, 278 nt
Filed under: uncultured prokaryote
Description: partial 16S ribosomal RNA
Rfam family: Bacterial small subunit ribosomal RNA
Source: RNAcentral